CUUGUCUGAAGAGCCCCUGAAAGUACAGAGACACCCUAGGGGUUGGAGUGCGAGCCAGAGCAGGUGGCCUGCCACGAACUGGACGGUACAUUGUCCUUGCAGCUCCAUUUCUCUAAAUACCCAAAUCAUCCAGAGAGGAGGUUCUGUGGAGAGGUCAGAGGAAGCGAUGCGUCCAGCAGCUGGCUGAGGGCAUUCUGCCCCGUGCCAGAGAUCAGAGAAGCUCUCCACAUCUGUACAGCUCUGACGAGACAAGCACCCAUAAGAUGUCGCAGUUUCCUUGAGAACUGGUCCCUCAAUGACCUCAACACUGUGCUGCCUCCAACACAACUUCCUCUGUAUAUACUUGGUCAAGUUCAGCAACUCUUCCAUCUUCACUUUUCUCUGGUAGCCUUUCCACUUCUUUUGGAACAAUAAGGAAUAGUGAUAUUAGAAUCCACUUAUGGUGGCUC
RNAcentral lists this long non-coding RNA (449 nucleotides) under Monodelphis domestica (gray short-tailed opossum). RNAcentral describes it as "lncRNA (ENSMODG00000046720.1)". The record is from RNAcentral. Lineage: Eukaryota; Metazoa; Chordata; Mammalia; Didelphimorphia; Didelphidae.